Molecule: transfer RNA, 75 nt
Filed under: Methanobacteriota archaeon
Lineage: Archaea; Methanobacteriati; Methanobacteriota
Description: Euryarchaeota archaeon (groundwater metagenome) tRNA-Pro
Source: RNAcentral
GGGCCUGUGGGCUAGCUUGGCCUAUACUUGUAGCUUUGGGAGCUAUAGACCCCGGUUCAAAUCGAAGAUGGUAUG